GAUUUUUGGGACAAUUUAAAAACUCACAAACUUUGCAUAAAAACCUUCUACUAGUUCAGAUCGUAUGGAUAUACCUUUGUUUCCUGCUAAGCAGGUAGUAAAUUGCUUCUGUGAAGAAGUGCACCCUUAUCACGUGUUUAAUUACGACAUAAACGGUGAGCCAUGUCCAUCGAAGAUCAAAGACCAAAUUAAUUGAAUGACAACUUCAAGUUCGGGUACAUUUUUCAGGAG
This is a non-coding RNA of Pelobates cultripes (western spadefoot toad), 231 nucleotides long. NCBI's taxonomy places the organism in Eukaryota, Metazoa, Chordata, Amphibia, Anura, Pelobatidae. The record is from the annotation of a GenBank genome assembly.